GGGAUGGGGUGACUAGUGACAGAGUGAGGAAGGGGGUGACUAGGGACAGAGGGGGUGACUAGUGACAGAGUGAGGGGGUGACUAGUGACAGUCACCCCUUCCCUCUCUCUGUCACUAGUCACUCCCUCCCUCUGUCACUAGUCACUCCCUCCCUCUGUCACUAGUCACUCCCUCCCUCUGUCACCAGUCACUCCCUCCCUCUGUCACCAGUCACCUCUUCCCUCCCUCACUUUGCCACUAGUCAUCUCUUCCCUCCC
Molecule: non-coding RNA, 257 nt
Organism: Pelobates cultripes (western spadefoot toad)
Lineage: Eukaryota; Metazoa; Chordata; Amphibia; Anura; Pelobatidae
Source: the annotation of a GenBank genome assembly